AACGAACGCUGGCGGCAUGCCUAACACAUACAAGUCGAACGAGACCUUCGGGUCUAGUGGCGCACGGGUGCGUAACGCGUGGGAAUCUGCCCUUGGGUUCGGGAUAACAGUUGGAAACGACUGCUAAUACCGGAUGAUGUCUUCGGACCAAAGAUUUAUCGCCCAAGGAUGAGCCCGCGUAGGAUUAGCUUGUUGGUGAGGUAAGAGCUCACCAAGGCGACGAUCCUUAGCCGGUCUGAGAGGAUGAUCAGCCACACUGGGACUGAGACACGGCCCAGACUCCUACGGGAGGCAGCAGUGGGGAAUAUUGGACAAUGGGCGAAAGCCUGAUCCAGCAAUGCCGCGUGAGUGAUGAAGGCCUUAGGGUUGUAAAGCUCUUUUACCCGGGAUGAUAAUGACAGUACCGGGAGAAUAAGCCCCGGCUAACUCCGUGCCAGCCGCUGCCGUAA
Molecule: ribosomal RNA, 449 nt
Filed under: uncultured bacterium
Lineage: Bacteria
Description: partial 16S ribosomal RNA
Rfam family: Bacterial small subunit ribosomal RNA
Source: RNAcentral